CCCUUAGAUGUCCGGGGCCGCACGCGCGCUACACUGAAGGAAUCAGCGUGGCUUUCUCCCUGACCCGAAAGGGUUGGGAAACCCGUUGAAUCUCCUUCGUGAUAGGGAUUGGGGCUUGAAAUUGUUCCCCAUGAACGAGGAAUUCCCAGUAAGCGCGAGUCAUAAGCUCGCGUUGAUUACGUCCCUGCCCUUUGUACACACCGCCCGUCGCUACUACCGAUUGAACGGUUUAGUGAGGGCCUCGGAUUGGUCUCGGCCCGCUCUUUACCGGGCGGCGCCGUUGGUCGAGAAGACGCGCGAACUUGAUCGUUUAGAGGAAGUAAAAGUCGUAACA
RNAcentral lists this ribosomal RNA (334 nucleotides) under uncultured eukaryote. RNAcentral describes it as "partial 18S ribosomal RNA". It matches the Rfam family "Eukaryotic small subunit ribosomal RNA", at positions 1470 to 1796 of the family's 1831-position model. The record is from RNAcentral.